RNAcentral lists this ribosomal RNA (272 nucleotides) under uncultured bacterium. RNAcentral's name for it is "partial 16S ribosomal RNA". It matches the Rfam family "Bacterial small subunit ribosomal RNA", at positions 84 to 354 of the family's 1533-position model. The record is from RNAcentral.
CCUGCCGGCGACCGGCGCACGGGUGAGUAACACGUAUGCGACCUGCCCCCGCAGGGGGAUAACCGGGAGAAAUCCCGACUAAUACCGCGUAACGCCGCGGACCUGCAUGGGUCUGCGGCCAAAGGAAGCGAUUCCGGCGGGGAUGGGCAUGCGGCGCAUUAGCUAGUCGGCGGGGUAACGGCCCACCGAGGCGACGAUGCGUAGGGGUUCUGAGAGGAAGGUCCCCCACACUGGUACUGAGACACGGACCAGACUCCUACGGGAGGCAGCAG